Molecule: transfer RNA, 75 nt
Filed under: Burkholderiaceae bacterium
Lineage: Bacteria; Pseudomonadati; Pseudomonadota; Betaproteobacteria; Burkholderiales; Burkholderiaceae
Description: tRNA-Glu
Rfam family: tRNA
About the family: Transfer RNA (tRNA) molecules are approximately 80 nucleotides in length. Their secondary structure includes four short double-helical elements and three loops (D, anti-codon, and T loops).
Source: RNAcentral
GGUCCAUUCGUCUACUGGUUAGGAUUUCGGUUUUUCACACCGAUAAAGAGAGUUCGAUUCUCUCAUGGACUGCCA